AAUCCUUACCUUAAUGAAGUCUCUUGAUUUCUCUCUUCAGAAUCGCCCAAAAAGCUCCAAGGUCGAAGUCAACAAUGGUGGAAUUACUCAAACUCGCGAAAUGAAAUAACAUAUAUGGUCUGUCCAGGUCUUUCCGCAUCUGCGGUCAAAGAUCCGCUUCUGCAGUACCGCAUUUGCGGUCUAAGCCUCCGCUUCUGCGGAGUUCACUUACUCAGCCCACACCGCUAUUGCGACAAAACUUCCGUAUCUGCGACAUCGCAGAGGCUGUCACCAUACCGCUUCUGCGGUUGCCGCACAUCUGACCCCUUUUCGCUUCUGCGAUAAAUCACCCACAUCUGCGGUACCCAAUCCGCAGAUGCGAAAAUAUCAGAAGCAGCAAUAUCAACUGCUGCAAACAAAAUUCCACCCUCUCCGAUAACCAUCCGAAAUCACCCCGAGGCCCCCGGGACCUCAACCAAAAGCACAAACAUAUCCUAAUACCUUAUUCGAACUUGUUCCAAUCAUCAAAACACUUCAAACAACAUCAAAUCAACCAAAACACCUCGGAUUCAAGCCUAAAUUUCCAAAAAUUUCCGAAAUACGCUUUUGAUCAAAAACCCAACCAAACCACGUACGAAUGACCUGAAAUUUUGCACACACGUCACAAAUGACACAACAGAUCUACUGCAACUUUUGGAAUUUCAUUCCGACCUCUAUAUCAAAAUCUCACCUAUCAACCGGAAAAUGCCGAAAUCUCAAUUUCGCCAAUUCAACCCUAAACCUUCCACGGACUUCCAAAAUGCAUUUUGAUCACGCUCUUAAGUCCCAAAUCACCUAACGGAGCUAACCAAAUCCUAAAAAUUUCGAUUCAAGAUCAUAUACAAAAAAAUCAAAUAUUGAUCAAACCUUUCAAAUUUCGAGCUUCAAACUGGGAACUGUUCUUCCAAGUUCAUUCUGAUUACCCUGAAAACCAAAACCAACGAAUUACAUAGGUCAUAACACAUCACAUGGGGCAAGUCAUGCCCGAGAACUGGCGAGCAAAGUGCAAAAGCUCAAAAUGACCGAUCGGGUCAUUACAUUCUCCCCCACUUAAACAUACGUUCGUCCUCGUACGUGCCCAGAAUUGUUUCAAAAGCCACUAAUUGCUGAAUAACCUCACCAUGCACAUACUCGGGGGUGAUCCCACGUCACCCUAUGUCACAUAGGUUCGAUAACACAACAUAACUGAAAUUUUCACAAUCUAACCUAGCCCAUAACCCUUAAAACCACAUUUCCACUUCUGAAAUCAUCCACAAGAUCCGAAUCUCACAUCUAUACUCUGAAUAAGUCUGAACCAGCUGUAAUAACUCAUACCUGCAACCUGAGGUACAAUUAUAUGAUAUACCACAUAACUCAAACAUUUGUAGCGAUAACUUCUGAUCACAGCAGUUGUACACAACAACCGAAUACCGAUAGAAAACCUCUUAUCAGCUAAAGUCUCAUUCCCACACUUUCAUAUACUGCUAGUGAUAAAUAAAACAUGCAGUAUGCCAUAACCAUUUCUCAGAUCAACCAUUCAUGAGGCCACUUCUCCUUUGGCAAAGACCAUAGACGAUACCAUCUAAUCCAAUACAAUUACUAUGGUGACAUGACACAUCAAUACAGGAUGAAGCCGCAACUUGUGCAAUCCGCGCACCAAUAAGCAAAAAUCCAAACAUACUCAAAUCAUGAAAAUGACUCAAAUGAAAGAGUUGUACCGUAAACUCACCGGUACCAUCACACACAAUGACGAGAACCCGACACACAUCAUAGAAACAGGACACACGAAUCUAACCCGCAAGAUUAUAGCUUCGCUCCAAUGCGCGACCUCAUCCAAACACUAGUCCAUAUGAAACAUCUCAAUUCACUAGGCUCAAAAUCGACAACCAUGCGCAAUAUGAUGUUUGAAACCAAAGUAAUCAUCAUAACCACCGCGAAGCAAUUGACAUAACAUUACACAUACCCGAAGGGACACAACCGAUACGCCAACCGCCGAGCAAUACCCAGUACUCUUCCCGCUCGACUUCCACUAUGAACCCAAUGGAACCGCACCACAUGUGCCUAUAACCAACAAAUCAUAACGCCUCGUAACCCGGCAAAGUAACUCAUAGAUCACCUCCGAACUCUAAUAGCCCUAUAAUAAUUGAAUCCAUACAUCAACUCUAGUUACCCACAACAGAUAAAUAACCCUCCGAAGGUUCACAAUGAAUGAAUCGUAGCACAUACUAUCACCUGACUAACAUACCAACAUCUUUGCCAUCCACAACCAGGGCUAACCUGUAUAUGAGAACUUCCAGUAUCCAAGCUCAUAAAGCAUACGAAUUACCAUAACUGAUCAAAUUUCGCCGCUCGAAUAUACAACACACCUCUAAUACUCAAUCAUCCCAUGAGGGGUACACCUAUACUUCUUCUGUGCCACCAAGACAACUCGAAUAUCAUCAGUCGAUCAGACGAGAUAGUGCCAGAAUACCAAUAAAGCAUCCAUAACUCAACACAUCGACAUUUUCUAAAAUGUAUAUCCCCAUCAAGCCACACCAAUCAGUAAUACCAUUUCCUUAAUCAUCUAAAACUGCAUGUGCUGCCUAAGAAUCUUAUGACCUUCCUUUCAGAACUGAACCGCAACCUUACACGUGCAAUUCUCAAUCCUUCACAACAUACCGCAUGUACCAUACCAUCCUAGGAUAACACGAGAACUUCAUAUCCCUUUCGAGCCACAAGUAACUAUGUACUCCACUAACCAAGAACUUUCCAUUGAUCCCAUCUAGAAAAAAACCACUAUACAUCCCAUGCUCCUCAUGCUCAUAGAAAAUAUACACCUCUCACCGUGGUAGAAACCGUUAAGGACUCUCCGAAUUUCCAUGUGCACAAACUAAACCGUCAGGACUAAAUCCUUCUAACUUAACCAAGCUACGCAGGUCACUAAAACCCAAGAGAAUUGCCGCGAAAUGCCUGUAGAAACUCAUUAUCUCGUAAGCAUCCAAAGAACUAAUCAUAUCCUUACCAUCCGACUCGGCCUACUACCAAGCUAUCCCAUCUAUCCAAGUGUCCUUCUGGUUUACCUUCAACUUGAUACUCCUUCUUGCUAUAACAUCACUAUUUCUCCACCCAGACUUACCAGACGAGACCCAAGCACAAAACCACAUCGUCUAAGACUCAUAAGUCGUUGAAUACUCUCUUAAAUAUUCCCAAAAGUACCACAUUCAAAAUACUUUACUCUUAAUAGACUUCCUACGAAUCUAAAUCCGUUACCUUUACCUUCCUGAUACUGAUUCAUAGAAUCCCAUAAUUAAUAUAGAAAAUAACACAAGUCUUGACAUCUUCUAAUGAAAACUCAGUUUCUAGUCACAUAUACAACUUUAAAAUACCCAAUUGUUACAUGUAGAAUAUUGAACACAUUAGAACCAUUCUCGAUCAUUCACUCUAUUCAAACUGCAAUUAGCCUGAUCAAACGAACAGAACCACCCAUGCCUCAAUAGCACUCUGACACAGCAGAGUGUAACCUCAUCCUAGAACAACCAAGCCACUUCCUGCUCUAUGCACCGAGCAUCUAUUACCAACAACAACUCAAGACAUUCCGUGAUUCUCAUACACCUAUGAAGCAUGACAUAACCUUUGUCAAAAUUUUCCUUUACUCGAGACAUCCUCGGUCUCAAUCUCCGUAAGUCAUAACUGAUUCACUAGUACGCCUCAAACUGGAACCAACAUAGCACAUAACCGUGCAAUCAACUAAGCAAUAGCAGACUCCCCUAUUUGGCUCGAAGCCAUAAACCAUACACACUCAAUAACUCAUAACACAUAUACUCUAUUGCUGCCAUAAUACCAUAGUGAGAUUAAACUCAAACCCUUUGUAAGCUUGGGAAAACACAGAUCAUCUAGUACUUAAAAUCUUCUGCAAAUCCCGCAUUCACUCCCGCAAUAGUUACACCCACUCUCUUAAGCGACCCAAUUUAAAUUACAACACAUAUCUUUCACUUGCAAAUGAGAUCUUCUAACAGACAACAUAAAGAUCGCACAAACUUUCGAACACUCCGCAAGAAAUAACCCACAUGAUUUGCCUCAAACUAACAUUUCUGUAUAGCUUCCACCAUCAUAAAUAUUACACGGUCACUUAAUCUUCCUGAGGCUGAACUCAUUCCGUAACAUAAAAUUUACUUCACUCCCACUAGAACACAUGAAAAGAUUCUUCACACCCAUAACUCGGGGCUAUACCUCCAAUCGAGAUGAAAACAAAGUACCUAAUAGUUCUUCUAUCCUCCAGCAGACCCUUCUCGUCGUUUCCAAAUCAUAUGAACACACCUCGCAACCAUAACAUACUCAUCACGUAGCUAUCCAGUCAUCACUUCCCUUAAUAGGGACACAACAGCACAUAUAGAUCCAGAAACAUGCGCUCACGCAAUCAACAUCUUAGGGCUCAAGCUAUAGGUAAAAAUCCUGCCUCAAGUCUUCCAGCUGCUGCAACAAAAAUCGUUGUGGCGUGCAGCCCGAUCCAUAUAUCGCUGCGGCGUGCAGCCCAAUCCAUAUAUAUAGUCGACUACCCUCACUAGGGGUGUGCAGACUUCAGAGGGGCUCCUACAGCCCAAGCGCUAUAUCGCUGCGACGUGCAGCCCGAUCCAACAUAUCGCUGCGGUGUGCAGCCCGAUCCAUAGAUAUAUAUAAUCCUCACAACCAGGUCCUCGGCCUCUCUCUCAGUCAUUAACCUCACAAUCAGACCCUCAGUCUAUCUAAGUCAUCAACCUCACAAUCAGACCCUCAAUCUAUCUCAGUCAUCAACCUCACAAUCAGACUCUCAGUCUAUCUCGGUCAUCAACCUCAUAAUCAGACCCUCGGUCUAUCUCAGUCAUCAACCUCACAAUCAGACCCUCGGACCAUCAGUAAAACAGGGAAUCCAGCCCAAAUAGUUUUCACAUUUUAAAGAAAUAUAGUGAUAAAACCAAAUUUAAACAAUAACCAGGUAAAAACAUGACUGAGGAUAUGCUUUCAAAACAAAUAGAGUGAGGAAAAGAUAGUAAAAAUGCCCUUAAGGGUCUUAACAGGUCGGCACAAGGCCCCAAACAUGGAAUACAACCCAAAAUAUAACAUCAAUCUCUAGAACAUGGAAUAUCCUAAGGUUUCAAAUCAAAUACGCGACUUAACAAUCGUACGAGAUGGACCAAGUCACAAUCCCCAACGGUGCACAACUCCACGCUCGUCAUCUAGCAUGUACGUCACCUCAAAAUAACAUAACGAUAUGUAAUCCGGGGCUUCAAACCCUCAGGACAGUAUUUACAAUCAUUACUUACCUCGAUCCGGCUAAAUCUCUAGCUCGCGACGCCUUUUCCCCUCAAAUCGGCCUCCACACAUGCCGAGUCUAUCCAAAAUCAGAACGAGAACAUCAAAAUAUGCUAAAGGAACGAAGCCCAAGCGAAAACAAUCAAUAAAGGGCACAAAUCCCGAAAUUAGCAAAAUCCGAGCCCCGGUCCCAUUUCUCAAAACUCAGAAAUUUCCACAUCAAUAGAUUCCUCAUCUCCCCACGAGUCUAUGCAUAUCAAAAAUACCAAAUCGGAGUUCAAAUGACCCCUCAAAUCCCCAAUUUAAGGCCUCUUAUUCUCAAGCCUUAAUCCUCCAUUUUUAGCCCUUAAAUUCCUUUAAUUACAGCCCGAAUACAUGAAAUACUACCAUAGAAAUGUGUUUUUAAGUCCAAAAUCCUUACCUUAACGAAGUCUCUUGAUUUCUCUCUUCAGAAUCGCCCAAAAAUCUCCAAGGUCGAAGUCAACAAUGGUGGAAUAACUCAAACUCGCGAAAUGAAAUAACAUAUAUGGUCUGUCUGGGCCUUUCCGCAUCUGCGGUCAGAGAUACGCUUCUGCGGUACCGCAUUUGCGGUCUAAACCUCCGCUUCUGCAGAAUUCACUUACUCAGCCCACACGCUUCUGCGACAAAACUUCCGCAUCUACGACACCAUACCGCUUC
This 5943-nucleotide long non-coding RNA is filed under the name Nicotiana tabacum (common tobacco). RNAcentral's name for it is "long non-coding RNA (NTAB_LNC008393)". The record is from RNAcentral. Lineage: Eukaryota; Viridiplantae; Streptophyta; Magnoliopsida; Solanales; Solanaceae.